AACGAACGCUGGCGGCAGGCCUAACACAUGCAAGUCGAACGCUCGUAGCAAUACGAGAGUGGCAGACGGGUGAGUAACACGUGGGAACCUUCCCUAUGGUUCGGAAUAGCCCAGGGAAACUUGGGGUAAUACCGGAUAAGCCCUUCGGGGGAAAGAUUUAUCGCCAUUGGAUGGGCCCGCGUCGGAUUAGCUAGUUGGUGGGGUAACGGCCUACCAAGGCGACGAUCCGUAGCUGGUCUGAGAGGAUGAUCAGCCACACUGGGACUGAGACACGGCCCAGACUCCUACGGGAGGCAGCAGUGGGGAAUAUUGGACAAUGGGCGCAAGCCUGAUCCAGCCAUGCCGCGUGAGUGUCGAAGGUCUUCGGAUUGUAAAGCUCUUUUGGCGGGGACGAUAAUGACGGCACCCGCAGAAUAAGCCCCGGCUAACUUCGUGCCAGCAGCCGCGGUAAUACGAAGGGGGCUAGCGUUGUUCGGAAUCACUGGGCGUAAAGCGCACGUAGCGGAUGGUG
RNAcentral lists this ribosomal RNA (511 nucleotides) under uncultured bacterium. RNAcentral describes it as "bacterial SSU rRNA". It matches the Rfam family "Bacterial small subunit ribosomal RNA", at positions 28 to 583 of the family's 1533-position model. The record is from RNAcentral.